This 512-nucleotide long non-coding RNA is filed under the name Manihot esculenta (cassava). Its description in RNAcentral is "long non-coding RNA (MESC_LNC012519)". The record is from RNAcentral. Lineage: Eukaryota; Viridiplantae; Streptophyta; Magnoliopsida; Malpighiales; Euphorbiaceae.
AACCACCAAGUGCUAAUGAUUUGAUCAUACAGCUUACAACCCAAUUAGAUCAGGCGGAAUUACAAGGGAGGGUCCUUAUUGGUGAGGGAGAUGACAAUACUAAUGUAGGGCAACACGGAGAAUGGAGAUUUUGCGUAGUGGGUCGUCUCUUUUCUGAUAGGGCUGUUAACUUUGAUGCUUUCCAACAUAUAAUGGCCAUUGCUUGGAGACCUGAUCCUGGGAUGUUUGUCAAAGAACUGGACAAUAAUAUUUUCAUUUUUUAGUUUUUCCAUGCCUACGGCAUUACAAAGGUUUUGAAUGAUGGUCCAUGAACUACCUAAUUAGGAGUAAAUUACGUAAUCAUAGGGAUUUGUAUAACUAACAGAUCUGAUAUAUAUUAUUUUGUGUACAUGUUUAUUUUAUUUCCUUAGAAUAGGAUUCCUUCUUUUUUCUCUCCUGAUUUUGUAUUGUAAAUAUAUCUAUAUAUAACCUCCUUUUCAGAGAAGAAUACACAACAACUGAAUCAUUCACGG